This 395-nucleotide ribosomal RNA is filed under the name uncultured bacterium. RNAcentral's name for it is "bacterial SSU rRNA". It matches the Rfam family "Bacterial small subunit ribosomal RNA", at positions 957 to 1353 of the family's 1533-position model. The record is from RNAcentral.
UAACGCGAAGAACCUUACCAGGUCUUGACAUCUUCUGCUAACCUAAGAGAUUAGGCGUUCCCUUCGGGGACGGAAUGACAGGUGGUGCAUGGUUGUCGUCAGCUCGUGUCGUGAGAUGUUGGGUUAAGUCCCGCAACGAGCGCAACCCUUAUUGUCAGUUGCCAGCAUUUAGUUGGGCACUCUGGCGAGACUACCGGUGACAAACCGGAGGAAGGUGGGGAUGACGUCAAAUCAUCAUGCCCCUUAUGACCUGGGCUACACACGUGCUACAAUGGACGGUACAACGAGUCGCGAAACCGCGAGGUCAAGCUAAUCUCUUAAAGCCGUUCUCAGUUCGGAUUGUAGGCUGCAACUCGCCUACAUGAAGUUGGAAUCGCUAGUAAUCGUGGAUCAGC